This 348-nucleotide unclassified non-coding RNA is filed under the name soil metagenome. RNAcentral describes it as "partial contains 5.8S ribosomal RNA, internal transcribed spacer 2, and large subunit ribosomal RNA". The stretch from base 1 to 120 matches the Rfam family "5.8S ribosomal RNA", at positions 35 to 154 of the family's 154-position model. The record is from RNAcentral.
GAUGAAGAACGCAGCGAAAUGCGAUAAGUAAUGUGAAUUGCAGAAUUCCGUGAAUCAUCGAAUCUUUGAACGCACAUUGCGCCCGCCAGUAUUCUGGCGGGCAUGCCUGUCUGAGCGUCAUUUCAACCCUCAUGCCCCUAGGGCGUGGUGUUGGGGAUCGGCCAAAGCCCGCGAGGGACGGCCGGCCCCUAAAUCUAGUGGCGGACCCGUCGUGGCCUCCUCUGCGAAGUAGUGAUAUUCCGCAUCGGAGAGCGACGAGCCCCUGCCGUUAAACCCCCAACUUUCCAAGGUUGACCUCAGAUCAGGUAGGAAUACCCGCUGAACUUAAGCAUAUCAAUAAGCGGAGGA